UACGUAGGGGCAAGCGUUAUCCGGAUUUAUUGGGUUUAAAGGGUGCGUAGGCGGCUUUUUAAGUCAGCGGUGAAAUUUUGCAGCUUAACUGUAACAGUGCCGUUGAUACUGGGGAGCUAGGAUUUGGUUGCUGUGGGUGGAAUGUGUGGUGUAGCGGUGAAAUGCUUAGAGAUCACACAGAAUAUCGAUUGCGAAGGCAGCUCACAAAGCCAAGAUUGACGCUGAGGCACGAAAGUGUGGGGAUCAAACAGGAUUAGAUA
Molecule: ribosomal RNA, 260 nt
Filed under: uncultured prokaryote
Description: partial 16S ribosomal RNA
Rfam family: Bacterial small subunit ribosomal RNA
Source: RNAcentral